Molecule: ribosomal RNA, 434 nt
Filed under: uncultured Ruminococcus sp.
Lineage: Bacteria; Bacillati; Bacillota; Clostridia; Eubacteriales; Oscillospiraceae
Description: partial 16S ribosomal RNA
Rfam family: Bacterial small subunit ribosomal RNA
Source: RNAcentral
ACGGGAGGCAGCAGUGGGGAAUAUUGCACAAUGGGCGCAAGCCUGAUGCAGCGAUGCCGCGUGAGGGAAGAAGGUUUUCGGAUUGUAAACCUCUGUCAUCGGGGACGAUAAUGACUGUACCCGAGAAGGAAGCUCCGGCUAACUACGUGCCAGCAGCCGCGGUAAUACGUAGGGAGCGAGCGUUAUCCGGAAUUACUGGGUGUAAAGGGAGUGUAGGCGGGACUGUAAGUCAGAUGUGAAAUAUACCGGCUCAACUGGUAGACUGCAUUUGAAACGGCGUUUAUUGAGUGAAGUAGAGGUAAGCGGAAUUCCUAGUAUAGCGGUGAAAUGCGUAGAUAUUAGGAGGAACAUCCGUGGCGAAUGCGGCUUACUGGGCUUUACCCGACACUGAGGCUCGAAAGCGUGGGGAGCAAACAGUAUUAGAUACCCUGGUA